UAUUUUGCCCCCACCACUUAGCAUUAACAGAAUUUAGGUUUUAGCCAUUUUGUAUAUUUAUAUGAUCCAUUUUAUUUACAUCGAUUGAGGUAGUUGAAUAUUCUGUUUGAGGUAUAUCAUUUAUGCCUGACAGAGAUUAAAACUGUUUAGUGGCUUUCAUUACUUUUAGGAAAAAAGACCCAAAUGUUUAGCUCUGCAUCACCUGGCUCCUGCCUGCCUCUUCAUUUUCGUCUCUUACUGCUCCUCCCUCUCAGUUUCUGCAUUCCAGAUUUGCUGGCCUUUUGGGUCCUCCAGCUCCUUGUUCCAUCUGUCACAAGACUUUGCAAUUUUGUUACCUUGUCCACACUGUUCUACUCCCACCCCAGCCUCACAACCAAGCUCACACCUAGUUAAUGCCCACUCAUCUUUGACACGUAAAAAAAAUUUUUUUUAUUUUAAUGUUUAUUUAUUUUUGAGAGACAGAGAGAUACAGAGUGUGAGCAGGGAGGGGCAGAGAGAGAAGGAGACACAGAAUCUGAAGCAGGCUCCAGGCUCUGAGCUGUUGGCACAGAGCCCAAUGCAGGGCUUGAAGUCACAAACUGUGAAAUCAUGACCUGAGCUGAAGUCAGACGCUUAACAGAUUGAGCCACCGAGGCGCCCCUUGUCUCUGACACUUCUGUGGGGAAACUUUCCCUGCCUCUACCCCCACCCCACCCCCACCCUCACUCUGCUGGGCAAGCCUCCCUUCUUGGUAAGAUCUCAUAGCAUUCUGCACUUUUAAUUUUCCUUCAGAACACUUACCAUAGUUUUAAAGUAUAUAUUUGGAUGAUUAUUCACUUCCCAACUAGACUGUAAGUAUCUUGGAAGCAAGAACGAUGUCUAUUUCACCCAUUACUUUGUUCCUGCCACAGUGCUUGGUGCAUUUAGACUCCUAUUUUUGGGGGGAGCCUGGGUGGUUCAGUUGGUUAAGCAUCCAACUUUGGCUCAGGUCAUGAUCUCACAGUCUGUGAGUUCAAGCCCCGCGAUGGGCUCUGUGCUGACAGCUUAGAGCCUGGAGCCUGCUUCGGAUUCUGUGUCUCCCUUUCUGCUCCUCCCUUGCUCACGCUCUGUCUCUCAAAAUUAAACGUUAAAAAAAUUUUUUUUAAUUAAAAAAAUUUAGACUCAGAUAUUUUUUGAAUAGUGAAGAGACUAGUCUGAAGGAUGAGGGAUCUUAUUUUAAAUUAAAAUAUAGAAAUCAGUAAAACACCUGGUAACUAAUGGAGUAUGGGGAUGUAGUGGGUACUGUGGUGUGAUGCCCAGUUUUCCUCUUGUAGACUACUCAUCCCUCCAGAUGCUGAGAGUUUUUUAAAAAAUGUUUACUUUUGAGAGAGAGAAAGCACACCCAUGUGCAUGUGAGUGAGGGAGGGUCUGAGAGAGGGAGAGAGACAGAAUCCCAAGCAGGCUCCGUGCUGUCAGUGCAGAGCCCGACGCGGGGCUCAAUCCCAUGAAUGGUGAGAUCAUGACUUGAACCAAAACCAAGAGCCAAACGCUUAAGACUGAACCACCCAGGUGCCCCACAUGCUAGGAGUUUUGAUGGCCAAUGCUUCUCAUCCUAGACCCUCUAUAGGAAUUGCCCACAGGAAAGAGAGCCACCUUACCUAAGGUCACACCCCUUUCUGAAAGCAGGUCACUUGCAGUGACAGGUUAAUUGGGGGGCAUAUGCUCCACUCACUGCCUCAGUGAAGGGCCAUUCCAGGUCGUGGUAGGAUUGACUGAGGUCACUGUUUGAACUGCAUCAACUGUUCAACCCCCUCCCACGUCACCUUUCCUCCCUCAGGCCUCACAAGCUGUUCCUGAGAGCUUGUCUCCUCCCUCUCCCCCCAAUAAACCACCUGCACACAAGUCUCAAGAGUCUGUUUCCCAGGGAACAGACUGAGAACUGUGGGCGAGGGAGAGGGAGGAUCCUAAGGUAGCUCCUCAAUUUCUGUUUUGAGACAGCACAUGAUGCCAUCCACUGAGAUGAGCACAGGAAGGUGAUAAUGUACAGGAACUGAAGCAGGUUUGCUGGAAAAGAUGGGAGUCAGACGGCAGUCCACUGUGGCUCCUCACUGCAGGCUUGCUGGCGGAUCCUGGGGUGGUCUAACCUUGAAGUUAGAGGCAGGCCUCUCAUACCCACCACCUUUGGUUGGAAGAUCAGCAGCGUUCUCCGAAGACAUCCUCCAACUCCUCUUCCAAACUGUAUCCUUACCCUUUUAUAUCUUCUUUAUGGGCAUGAUGAUGGAUUCAAGGUUUUUAGCCAAGUCCUCCUUUGCAAACUCAACCACCAGGAUGAUCUGUUUCACUACUGAUUCGUGCCUCCAGAGAUUUUUAUAUAUUGAUUAAUGCCACCAAAACAAGAGUUUUGUUUUGAUGAGACAGCAUUAUCACACUCCGUCUGCAGAAGCAAGGAAAACUUUCAUGGAAUAAAGGAGCUUGUUCAACUCUAUCUCAGAAACCAAGCCUAGAUUCAGACUUGUCCAAAUCUUAGUUCCACUGAACAAGCAGAGCUCAAUUCUUUCUUUUUUUUUUCUCCCAAGUUUUAAUUUAAAUUCUGGUUAACAUACAGCAUAACACUCGUUUUAGUUUCAUGUGUAGAAUUUAGUGAUUCGUUAUCACUUAAAUACAACACCCCGUGCUGAUCACAACAAGGGCCCUCCUUAAUAGCAGAGCUCAAUUCUAAACAGUUCUUUUUUUGGCGCACUUGCUGUGGAUGCCUUUAUAUUGAGAGAGCUGAAAUCAAAGAAGUGCUAGCAGAGGGACACUGUGUUCUUUCCCCACAGAGCAUCUCAGCCGUGUCCUAUAUCUUUUUCAGCCACUCUCAGAUAAUAAAAAGUCCUUGAAUCA
This is a long non-coding RNA of Acinonyx jubatus (cheetah), 2841 nucleotides long. RefSeq lists it as uncharacterized. The transcript is spliced from 2 exons. NCBI's taxonomy places the organism in Eukaryota, Metazoa, Chordata, Mammalia, Carnivora, Felidae. The record is from RefSeq and is a predicted model, not a curated record.